GAUGAAGAACGCAGCGAAAUGCGAAAAGUAAUGUGAAUUGCAGAAUUCAGUGAAUCAUCGAAUCUUUGAACGCACAUUGCGCCCGCCAGUAUUCUGGCGGGCAUGCCUGUCUGAGCGUCAUUUCAACCCUCACGCCCCUAGGGCGUGGUGUUGGGGAUCGGCCAGCGCCCUCGCGGGCGAUGCCGUCCCCUAAAUCUAGUGGCGGACCCGUCGUGGCCUCCCCUGCGAAGUAGUGAUAUUCCGCAUAGGAGAGCGACGAGCCCCUGCCGUUAAACCCCCAACUUUCUCAGGUUGACCUCAGAUCAGGUAGGAAUACCCGCUGAACUUAAGCAUAUCAAUAAGCGGAGGA
RNAcentral lists this unclassified non-coding RNA (349 nucleotides) under soil metagenome. Its description in RNAcentral is "partial contains 5.8S ribosomal RNA, internal transcribed spacer 2, and large subunit ribosomal RNA". The stretch from base 1 to 120 matches the Rfam family "5.8S ribosomal RNA", at positions 35 to 154 of the family's 154-position model. The record is from RNAcentral.